AACGAACGCUGGCGGCAGGCCUAACACAUGCAAGUCGAACGCCGUAGCAAUACGGAGUGGCAGACGGGUGAGUAACGCGUGGGAACAUACCCUCCGGUUCGGAAUAACUCAGGGAAACUUGAGCUAAUACCGGAUACGUCCAAGGUUUUAAUCGGCCUCGGAGAAAGAUUUAUCGCUGGAGGAUUGGCCCGCGUCUGAUUAGCUUGUUGGUGAGGUAAUGGCUCACCAAGGCGACGAUCAGUAGCUGGUCUGAGAGGAUGAUCAGCCACAUUGGGACUGAGACACGGCCCAAACUCCUACGGGAGGCAGCAGUGGGGAAUAUUGGACAAUGGGCGAAAGCCUGAUCCAGCCAUGCCGCGUGAGUGAUGAAGGCCUUAGGGUUGUAAAGCUCUUUU
RNAcentral lists this ribosomal RNA (395 nucleotides) under uncultured bacterium. Its description in RNAcentral is "bacterial SSU rRNA". It matches the Rfam family "Bacterial small subunit ribosomal RNA", at positions 29 to 437 of the family's 1533-position model. The record is from RNAcentral.